This 425-nucleotide ribosomal RNA is filed under the name uncultured prokaryote. RNAcentral describes it as "bacterial SSU rRNA". It matches the Rfam family "Bacterial small subunit ribosomal RNA", at positions 355 to 776 of the family's 1533-position model. RNAcentral also lists the same sequence under 1 other name. The record is from RNAcentral.
UGAGGAAUAUUGGUCAAUGGACAGAAGUCUGAACCAGCCAAGUCGCGUGAAGGAAGAAGGUCUUACGGAUUGUAAACUUCUUUAGCAGGGGAAUAAAAGACGAUACGAGUUAUCGUGUUGAAAGUACUUUGCGAAAAAGGAUCGGCUAACUCCGUGCCAGCAGCCGCGGUAAUACGGAGGAUCCGAGCGUUAUCCGGAUUUAUUGGGUUUAAAGGGUGCGUAGGCGGAUUGUUAAGUCAGCGGUGAAAUUUUGCAGCUUAACUGUAAAAUUGCCGUUGAAACUGAUGAUCUUGAGGAUAGUUGAGGUAAGUGGAAUGUGUUGUGUAGCGGUGAAAUGCAUAGAUAUAACACAGAACACCGAUUGCGAAGGCAGCUUACUAGACUAUAACUGACGCUGAGGUACGAAAGCGUGGGGAUCAAACAGG